RNAcentral lists this transfer RNA (84 nucleotides) under Medakamo hakoo. RNAcentral's name for it is "trnY-GUA". It matches the Rfam family "tRNA". From Rfam's summary of the family: Transfer RNA (tRNA) molecules are approximately 80 nucleotides in length. The record is from RNAcentral. Lineage: Eukaryota; Viridiplantae; Chlorophyta; Trebouxiophyceae; Coccomyxaceae.
GGGAAAGUGGCUGAGUGGUUAAAGGCGGCAGACUGUAAAUCUGUUGAAGAUUCUUCUACGUAGGUUCGAAUCCUGCUUUUCCCA